Molecule: ribosomal RNA, 334 nt
Filed under: uncultured bacterium
Lineage: Bacteria
Description: bacterial SSU rRNA
Rfam family: Bacterial small subunit ribosomal RNA
Source: RNAcentral
CGUGUAGGCGGUCGAUCAAGUCCGGUGUGAAAGCCCGGGGCUCAGCUCCGGAAGGGCACCGGAAACUAGUCGACUUGAGCGCGAGUAGAGGAGGGUGGAAUUCCUGGUGUAGCGGUGAAAUGCGUAGAUAUCAGGAGGAACAUCGGCGGCGAAGGCGGCCCCCUGGCUCGUUGCUGACGCUGAGACGCGAAAGCGUGGGGAGCAAACAGGAUUAGAUACCCUGGUAGUCCACGCUGUAAACGAUGGGUACUAGGUGUUCGGGGUGUUGACCCCCUGACGUGCCGACGCUAACGCAUUAAGUACCCCGCCUGGGGACUACGGCCGCAAGGCUAAA